This 78-nucleotide transfer RNA is filed under the name Streptomyces durbertensis. RNAcentral's name for it is "tRNA-Arg". The stretch from base 12 to 75 matches the Rfam family "tRNA". Rfam says of the family: Transfer RNA (tRNA) molecules are approximately 80 nucleotides in length. Their secondary structure includes four short double-helical elements and three loops (D, anti-codon, and T loops). Further hydrogen bonds mediate the characteristic L-shaped molecular structure. tRNAs have two regions of fundamental functional importance: the anti-codon, which is responsible for specific mRNA codon recognition, and the 3' end, to which the tRNAs corresponding amino acid is attached (by aminoacyl-tRNA synthetases). tRNAs cope with the degeneracy of the genetic code in two manners: having more than one tRNA (with a specific anti-codon) for a particular amino acid; and 'wobble' base-pairing, i.e. permitting non-standard base-pairing at the 3rd anti-codon position. The record is from RNAcentral. Lineage: Bacteria; Bacillati; Actinomycetota; Actinomycetes; Kitasatosporales; Streptomycetaceae.
GCCGCAGCUGAGCCCGCAGAUCACCCAGCCGCUCUCCUAAAGCGGGUGUCGCAGGUUCGAAUCCUGCCGGGGGCACCA